UCAAUUGGGAAAGGGGAAUUUGAGGUUAUAUGUUCUUCAUACUCCAUAAUAAAAACUAUGCCAACUUUAAUAAUUGUUGGAAAAUAUUCUUCCAAAUUUUAUUAGGACUAAAAUGCCCCUAUCAUAACUCUACUCCAAUCUUUCUUGAUUUCUCAAUUAAAUUGAACAACGAAAAAAAUGCUAAUAACGUAAACCACCACUAUUCAGUUGGUAUGAAAAUUAUUGGUGCACCAACAGAGAGAACCAAAACCGACCGAACACUCCUAAAAUUUAAAUUUUUGUUUUUAGUUUUACUGUGUAUACAUAUAAAUAUAAUAUUAUAUAUUUAUUAAUUAUUAAAAUUAUUAAAUAAAAAUUUAAACUGAGAAAUUUUUCCUAGCGCACCGACUCCUCUUUCUCUCUAUCGUAUGCUCUCAUCUUUAUUUGUCACUCUUCUCUCUUCUCUUUCAUUCUCCCAGUCGGUGACAGCACCACCUCACCUCACACACUCACUUUCACAAAUCGCAGGCGCAGCCCCCACCUCACCAGCUUACCUCACGGGUCACAACUGUGACGACUCUCUCUAAGUCACGGAGUCACUCUCACGACUCACGGAUCUCCCUGCGUCUUCCCUCUCCGGUGGCACUCCGGGUUCGAGUCCGACAGGUUCGCGGAGGCUCACAAAGGAGCAGGUUGUAAUGGUUGCAGUGGACUAAGACUUAGAUUUAAUUUGUGUUGUAUUGGACUUUGGACUUUAAGUUUAAACUUUAACUAUGUGUUGUGAUUUGUGGUUGUAGACUUUUAGUUUUAGCCAUGGGUUGUAUUGAACUUUGGACAUUGGACUUUAAACUUUAACCAUGUGUUGUGAUUUGUGGUUGUAGAUUUUUAGUUUUAAUUGUGUGUUGUCUUGGAUUGGACAAUAGACAUUGGACUUUUAAUAAUGUGUUGCGAUUUGAGGUUAUGCUUAUGGAAUUUUAAAGUUUUAAUUA
Long non-coding RNA from Humulus lupulus (European hop), 968 nucleotides. RefSeq lists it as uncharacterized. The transcript has 2 exons. NCBI's taxonomy places the organism in Eukaryota, Viridiplantae, Streptophyta, Magnoliopsida, Rosales, Cannabaceae. The record is from RefSeq and is a predicted model, not a curated record.